AACAAAAAGAAAAAGAAAAAGAAAAAGAAAAAGAAAAAGAAAAAGAAAAAAAGGGUUUGUUUUUUCAUGCUUGAGUGAGAGUGGAGCAAAUGACCAUCAUCUCCUCGCCACAAGUCCAAACUCCAAACACAAGCACUUUCAGCCCACGUUAACAACCAACGACCACCAUGCACAGCCUCAUGAUUUCCGUCACUAAACCCUCCAUAGCCUUCACUACGCCACCAGACUUUUCUACCUCCUCACUCUCAAAUCCUUUAUUCCCUUCUGGUGGCCCCACAAACUCUACCCUCUCUACCCCUCCACCUCUCCCCUCACCCCCCCUCUCUUCUCCGCCAUUGCCUUCCCUUCCCGCAUCGUCAUCACCAUAUUCUCAGCCCCUGCUCUCUCCCUCACAACCCCUCUUCUACCUCCUCGCGAGAACAUAUUUAUAAUAGUUUCACUUGGCAAAAAUGUACAACUGAUAGACACCACGUUCUUGCUUAAUUUUGUGUUGAUGAUAUCAGUAGAGUAAAAGUAUUAGUUCCUACAAUAACAACACGUAACGGGGUCCAUUUGCUUGGAACUGGACGCUGCCGGAAGGUGUUGUGUCCAGUCCCACGAGUUGUGGGACUGGAAGAGCCUCCAGUUGUUCCGGAUUUUCUCCGCGAACUAGAGGCUGCAGGUGGUUGGGACCCGCCUGUGCGAAGGGAGUUGUGGAGAGGAGCGAUGAGGGAUUGUUGGAUGCAAUGGUUUUUGCUAGUAGUGGAGAAGUGGAGGGGUUAUUGAAGAGUUUGAAAGAGCUUGGGUGGGAGUGGGAGAUGAUGAGGAGGAGGUGGCCUAAUUUAGUGGUGGUAGCACAUGGGCCGGUGACCGCCGCCGGGGCUGAGAGUUUGGGAGUGAAUGUUAAUGUUGUGAGUGAGAGGUUUGAUAGUUUUCAAGGUACUGUGUGGAUGCUGUCAAAACCAAGUUAAGAGGUUUGGAUUCUACCUCUAUGUGAAUUUGUCUGAACGAAAAUUUGUAUCAUUGAUUUGCAAAAAUGAAAAGAAGGAGAGCUAACUUUUGGUUAAAAGACUUCGUUUACAAGAAAAUUUCCCUUUCUUCCUAUUUCUUGCUUAAGCAAGAAGAAAAAACUGUUCAUAGCCAUGACAGGGUAAAAAAAGAGAAGAAGCUCUCAAUCAAUUAAUGUAAAAAGCCAUACUUUAAUGAUGAGACUACUUGUUAAGCCUGUAACUGUCAUUCAAUGUUCUCAUAUGUAACUGUUACUGUAAUCCAUCAUGUUCAUUAGCUAGUUCUCUAAUUUUCUUGAUAA
Molecule: long non-coding RNA, 1288 nt
Organism: Populus trichocarpa (black cottonwood)
Lineage: Eukaryota; Viridiplantae; Streptophyta; Magnoliopsida; Malpighiales; Salicaceae
Exons: 2
Source: RefSeq, a predicted model, not a curated record